CAUAGCCUUUAGCUCCAACCGUAUUAAAGGUAAAGCCUGCCCAGUGAGUUUUAAACGGCCGCGGUAUCCUAACCGUGCAAAGGUAGCGCAAUCACUUGUCCCCUAAAUAGAGACUAGUAUGAACGGCUAAAUGAGGAUUGAACUGUCUCCUAUAACCAAUCAGUGAAACUGAUCCCCCAGUCCAAAAGCUGGGAUACAAUCAUAAGACGAGAAGACCCUGUGGAGCUUUAAAUUAAAGCCAUCUGCUCCUCUUAACCAUCAGUCUAUGGCCUACAAUUUUAAGUUGGGGCGACUUAGGAACAAAAUUAAACUUCCUAGCACAAGAGAAUUCUCAUACUAAGGCCUACACGCCAAGGCAUAAACUGACCCAGUACCACUGAUCAACGAACCAAGUUACCCCAGGGAUAACAGCGCCAUCUUCUCUAAGAGUCCCUAUCGCCGAGAAGGUUUACGACCUCGAUGUUGGAUCAGGACACCCAAAUGGUGCAACAGCUAUUAACGGUUCGUUUGUUCAACGAUUAACAGUCCUACGUGAUC
This 537-nucleotide ribosomal RNA is filed under the name Polychrus acutirostris. RNAcentral's name for it is "partial 16S ribosomal RNA". It matches the Rfam family "Bacterial large subunit ribosomal RNA", at positions 1814 to 2605 of the family's 2925-position model. The record is from RNAcentral. Lineage: Eukaryota; Metazoa; Chordata; Lepidosauria; Squamata; Polychrotidae.